GACGAACGCUGGCGGCGUGCUUAACACAUGCAAGUCGAACGAUGAAGCCUAGCUUGCUAGAUGGAUUAGUGGCGAACGGGUGAGUAAUACGUGAGUAACCUACCUUUAACUCUGGGAUAAGCCUGGGAAACUGGGUCUAAUACCGGAUACGACCAAUCUCCGCAUGGGGUGUUGGUGGAAAGCGUUAUGUAGUGGUUAUAGAUGGGCUCACGGCCUAUCAGCUUGUUGGUGAGGUAACGGCUCACCAAGGCGACGACGGGUAGCCGGCCUGAGAGGGUGACCGGCCACACUGGGACUGAGACACGGCCCAGACUCCUACGGGAGGCAGCAGUGGGGAAUAUUGCACAAUGGGCGCAAGCCUGAUGCAGCGACGCCGCGUGAGGGAUGACGGCCUUCGGGUUGUAAACCUCUGUUAGCAGGGAAGAAGAGAAAUUGACGGUACCUGCAGAGAAAGCGCCGGCUAACUACGUG
RNAcentral lists this ribosomal RNA (471 nucleotides) under uncultured bacterium. Its description in RNAcentral is "partial 16S ribosomal RNA". It matches the Rfam family "Bacterial small subunit ribosomal RNA", at positions 28 to 507 of the family's 1533-position model. The record is from RNAcentral.